Molecule: ribosomal RNA, 407 nt
Filed under: uncultured bacterium
Lineage: Bacteria
Description: partial 16S ribosomal RNA
Rfam family: Bacterial small subunit ribosomal RNA
Source: RNAcentral
AUUGAACGCUGGCGGCAGGCCUAACACAUGCAAGUCGAGCGGAGCGGCGGACGGGGGAGGAAUGCCUAGGAAUCUGCCUGGUAGUGGGGGAGAACGUCCGGAAACGGGCGCUAAUACCGAAUACUAGCAGAUGAGCCUAAGUCGGAUUAGCUAGUGGGUGGAGUAAAGGCAUACCAAGGCGACGAUCCGUAACUGGUCUGAGAGGAUGAUCAGGCACACUGGAACUGAGACACGGCCCAGACUCCUACGGGAGGCAGCAGUGGUGAAUAUUGGACAAUGGGCGCAAGCCUGAUCCAGCCAUGCCGCGUGUGUGAAGAAGGUCUUCGGAUUGUAAAGCACUUUCAGUUGGGAGGCGUUACCCACAGAAUAAGCACCGGCUAACUUCGUGCCAGCAGCCGCGGUAAUAC